AGAGUUUGAUCAUGGCUCAGAUUGAACGCUGGCGGCAGGCCUAACACAUGCAAGUCGAGCGGCAGCGGGGGGAAGCUUGCUUCCCCGCCGGCGAGCGGCGGACGGGUGAGUAAUGUCUGGGAAACUGCCUGAUGGAGGGGGAUAACUACUGGAAACGGUAGCUAAUACCGCAUAACGUCGCAAGACCAAAGAGGGGGACCUUCGGGCCUCUUGCCAUCGGAUGUGCCCAGAUGGGAUUAGCUAGUAGGUGGGGUAAAGGCUCACCUAGGCGACGAUCCCUAGCUGGUCUGAGAGGAUGACCAGCCACACUGGAACUGAGACACGGUCCAGACUCCUACGGGAGGCAGCAGUGGGGAAUAUUGCACAAUGGGCGCAAGCCUGAUGCAGCCAUGCCGCGUGUGUGAAGAAGGCCUUCGGGUUGUAAAGCACUUUCAGCGGGGAGGAAGGGAGCAGGCUUAAUACGUCUGUUCAUUGACGUUACCCGCAGAAGAAGCACCGGCUAACUCCGUGCCAGCAGCCGCGGUAAUACGGAGGGUGCAAGCGUUAAUCGGAAUGACUGGGCGUAAAGCGCACGCAGGCGGUCUGUUAAGUUGGAUGUGAAAUCCCCGGGCUUAACCUGGGAACUGCAUUCAAAACUGACAGGCUAGAGUCUCGUAGAGGGGGGUAGAAUUCCAGGUGUAGCGGUGAAAUGCGUAGAGAUCUGGAGGAAUACCGGUGGCGAAGGCGGCCCCCUGGACGAAGACUGACGCUCAGGUGCGAAAGCGUGGGGAGCAAACAGGAUUAGAUACCCUGGUAGUCCACGCUGUAAACGAUGUCGAUUUGGAGGUUGUGGUCUUGAACCGUGGCUUCCGGAGCUAACGCGUUAAAUCGACCGCCUGGGGAGUACGGCCGCAAGGUUAAAACUCAAAUGAAUUGACGGGGGCCCGCACAAGCGGUGGAGCAUGUGGUUUAAUUCGAUGCAACGCGAAGAACCUUACCUACUCUUGACAUCCAGAGAAGACUGCAGAGAUGCGGUUGUGCCUUCGGGAGCUCUGAGACAGGUGCUGCAUGGCUGUCGUCAGCUCGUGUUGUGAAAUGUUGGGUUAAGUCCCGCAACGAGCGCAACCCUUAUCCUUUGUUGCCAGCACUUCGGGUGGGAACUCAAGGGAGACUGCCGGUGAUAA
RNAcentral lists this ribosomal RNA (1163 nucleotides) under Dickeya zeae DZ2Q. Its description in RNAcentral is "bacterial SSU rRNA". It matches the Rfam family "Bacterial small subunit ribosomal RNA", at positions 8 to 1161 of the family's 1533-position model. Lineage: Bacteria; Pseudomonadati; Pseudomonadota; Gammaproteobacteria; Enterobacterales; Pectobacteriaceae. The record is from RNAcentral.